Apis cerana (Asiatic honeybee) is the source of this 2249-nucleotide long non-coding RNA. RefSeq lists it as uncharacterized. Lineage: Eukaryota; Metazoa; Arthropoda; Insecta; Hymenoptera; Apidae. The record is from RefSeq and is a predicted model, not a curated record.
UAUUAAUAAAAUAUAUUAAAGUGAAUUAAAUUUAUUCUGAAUUAUUUUAACGAAAUUGAAAUCAAAUAAUUGCUAGGAAUACAUUAAAUUAUAGAUUAACUUGAAACUAAUAUUUUAUUUGUUCAUUAUGUAACAAGGUAUUAAUAUAUUGUUUAGUAUAAUGUUACUUGAUCGAGUUAUGAAAGGCUCUAUAUAUUUCGCAGAACAAGAAUUUAUGAUUCAAUAUGAAUCGAGAUGAAUUCAGUUAAACGAACAAUGAAAAGGAGACAUGGAAAAAUCAACCGAUCGAAUGAAGCAUCUAUCUAUUUCAGAAAAAUUUGAUCGAUAAAGAAAUUGAUUUUUCCUUUUUUUGUUUUAUGAUCGAUAAGUUUUAAUCAAUGGAUUUUAUAUUCUUGUAAAUUUUAGAAUAUAUUAUAAAAUUGAUCGAAGAAUUAUAAUAAAAUGUAGGAUUUUUAUUAGCAACGAUUAUCUCAUGUUUAUUUUUUUUUACUGCUAUUCUAUUUAUAUUAUAUAUUUAAACGCUAUGCUCAUUACGGAUUGUCAAUAUAAAAUUUUAAUAAAUUUGUAUUUCUUAAAAAAUAAAAAGUUAAUUAUUAGAAAUUAAUAAAUUGAUAAUUAUAAAAACUAUAAACAUUUAAUAUUUUGAUGUCAUUCAAAAAAAUCGAUAUCUCGUUUUUUUUCGAUUCAGAUAAGAAUCGAUUAGAAUCGAUUUUCAGAAAGUUAUUACAGAUGGCGUUACGAUUUAUCAUAAUGUGCGAGAGCGUUCGAGAUGGAAUGAAGCGAUCGAGAUAUGAUAUCUAAGGAUCUGUUGUUAGUGGUAAAUGUGAAGGAAUCGCAUUCCCUUGUGGUUAGGUAGUUUAAUUGGAAUUGAUGUUGCAAGCCCAGUGUUACAAUCGACGCAGUACUAACCCGCGUAACUAAUUAACACGCCCAAGAUAAUCCAAGUGAAUCGCAUCUAAGCAAUAGUUCCCUCGUGAGGGAAAUGAUCGAGCGACUAUAGAGGUUAUGGGAGCGUCAGAGAUCGAAUGUUCAAUAAGAAGAUUUAUGUUGGAUUAAAUAUAAUUCUCUGCAUAUAGUAGUAGAGGUAAUCGUUAAUAAUAUAUCUAAUAAUAACUAUGAAUAUGAAAAAUAGGAAUUUUAUUUAUUCUUAUUGAUAUUGAAUGGAAAAUUUAUGGAAAUCAAAAAAAUAUCUAGAGAGAAAAUAUCAUGAAACUAUCCUCAUAAAAGAUAUUAAGGAACCAAAAAAUAAACAAUUGAAGUACAAUAUUGAUAUAUAUACUUCGCAUAUAUGUAUAUGGCAUUGCACGAUACUGUGGACACACCGUCUGUUCCGGUUCUGGCAGAGUAUAAUCGGGACACGCGGUAACACCGCGUAACGAGUUAGCACAACGAAGCCAAGCCAGGGGUCUUGGUGGCCCUGGCAGCUAGCAAUCGAUAGCCCGAGCAGCUAGAGGCGUGGGAGUCUGCAGCCUCUGAGGCAGAGAGAGGGACACAAAGAGAUGUUGGACGAAUUUCCGUUGAGGGAGGGCGAAUUCUUUCUAAGAAGAAGGAUAUAGAAAGGGAAAGAAAAGAGAUGUGUCGCGUUAACCAAAAGAUUGAAGAAAAUAGUGUGAUCCUUGAAAGAAGGUUGACAAUUUUUCGUCUAUUCUUAUUGAACCGGAUUGUCAAUUAGAGGGAUGUCCAGAUUCGAUAUGUCUAUGGUCUGUGAAAGAGUGAGAGGAAGAUUUUCGAACGUAUAAUAGAAGAAAGGGAAUCGACUGGACGAGAUGGAAAAUCGUGGAAACCUUUAAGGAAAUAGGUCGAGCUCCAAUAAGCCGUUUAAAGGACUCUUUACGGUUCCGGUUGCUGGUCAGGAGAUUUAUGGAGACCCUUUUAAUCAAGUCUGAUUCGAAAACGUCUCCGACUCUGUUUUCUUCAGGUUGACGACUUACGUGAAUCGUACUUCUGGAAUUUGGAUAAAUUGCUCGGAAUGUAUGUAAAUUAUGAUUAAUGAAGUAUAAACUAGAAAUAGUGGUAUUAGAUCAUGGAUUUAGUUUGAUAUAUAUUAUAAUUGUAAAAAGAAAUAUGACAGUUUUUAAAAUAUAUAAGAUUUUUCUUUUAGAAUUUUUAGAGAAAAUGAUUUUUAUGGAUUUUGAAUUUUUAAAAUAAAAUUAGAUUUUUGAUGUAGGAUUUGUGUAUAUAGAAUUUUUAUAAUAUUAAGUUUUAUAAGAUAAAUUUUUAUAAGAUCUAUAAUUCUCAAAAUUUAUUCA